RNAcentral lists this ribosomal RNA (745 nucleotides) under uncultured organism. Its description in RNAcentral is "bacterial SSU rRNA". It matches the Rfam family "Bacterial small subunit ribosomal RNA", at positions 58 to 796 of the family's 1533-position model. The record is from RNAcentral.
CAAGUUGAACGGUACAGUAGUGAUUAUCACUAGCUGACGAGUGGCGCACGUGUGAGUAACGCGUAGGUAAACUACCAUAGGGACCUGGAUAGCCCUACGAAAGUAGGAUUAAUACGGGAUGUGCUUAUAUUUUCAUAAGAUUUUAUAAGUAAAUAGUUUUUCUGCUCUAUGAUGUGCCUGCGUUAGAUUAGUUUGUUGGUGGGGUAAUGGCCUACCAAGGCUGCGAUCUAUAGCCGGGCUGAGAGGCUGACCGGCCACAUUGGGACUGAGACACGGCCCAGACUCCUACGGGAGGCAGCAGCUAAGAAUCUUCCGCAAUAGUCGAUAGACUGACGGAGCGACGCCGCGUGAGUGAUGAAGGCCUUUUAGGUUGUAAAACUCUUUUAUAUUGGAAGAAUAUAUAGUAUUAGACUAUAUUGACUGUACUUUAUGAAUAAGGUCCGGCUAACUACGUGCCAGCAGCCGCGGUAAUACGUAGGGACCGAGCGUUGUUCGGAAUUAUUGGGCGUAAAGGGUAUGUAGGCGGUCUAUUAAGUUAGAUGUGAAAAAUCUGGGCUCAACCGAGAUCUUGCGUCUAAUACUGAUAGGCUAGAGUCUCUGAGAGGAAGGCGGAAUUCCUGGUGUAGGGGUGAAAUCUAUAGAUAUCAGGAAGAACACCGGUUGCGAAGGCGGCCUUCUUGGCAGAGGACUGACGCUGAGGUACAAACGUUAGGGUAGCCAACAGGAUUAGAGACCCUGGUAGUCC